Molecule: ribosomal RNA, 497 nt
Filed under: uncultured bacterium
Lineage: Bacteria
Description: partial 16S ribosomal RNA
Rfam family: Bacterial small subunit ribosomal RNA
Source: RNAcentral
GAUGAACGCUGGCGGCGUGCCUAAUACAUGCAAGUCGAGCGAACAGACGAGGAGCUUGCUCCUCUGACGUUAGCGGCGGACGGGUGAGUAACACGUGGAUAACCUACCUAUAAGACUGGGAUAACUUCGGGAAACCGGAGCUAAUACCGGAUAAUAUAUUGAACCGCAUGGUUCAAUAGUGAAAGACGGUUUUGCUGUCACUUAUAGAUGGAUCCGCGCCGCAUUAGCUAGUUGGUAAGGUAACGGCUUACCAAGGCAACGAUGAGUAGCCGACCUGAGAGGGUGAUCGGCCACACUGGAGCUGAGACACGGUCCAGACUCCUACGGGAGGCAGCAGUAGGGAAUCUUCCGCAAUGGGCGAAAGCCUGACGGAGCAACGCCGCGUGAGUGAUGAAGGUCUUCGGAUCGUAAAACUCUGUUAUUAGGGAAGAACAAAUGUGUAAGUAACUAUGCACGUCUUGACGGUACCUAAUCAGAAAGCCACGGCUAACUACGUG